This 253-nucleotide ribosomal RNA is filed under the name uncultured prokaryote. Its description in RNAcentral is "partial 16S ribosomal RNA". It matches the Rfam family "Bacterial small subunit ribosomal RNA", at positions 524 to 776 of the family's 1533-position model. The record is from RNAcentral.
UACGUAGGGUGCGAGCGUUAAUCGGAAUUACUGGGCGUAAAGUGUGCGCAGGCGGCUGAGCAAGUCGAGUGUGAAAGCCCCGGGCUUAACUUGGGAAUUGCGCUCGAAACUACUUGGCUGGAGUGUGGCAGAGGAGGGUGGAAUUCCACGUGUAGCGGUGAAAUGCGUUGAUAUUAUGGGGAACACCAAAAGCGAAGGCAGCAGACUGGAGCACUCCUGACACUGAAACAAGAAAGCGUGGGUCGCGAAUGGG